This 732-nucleotide ribosomal RNA is filed under the name uncultured bacterium. RNAcentral's name for it is "bacterial SSU rRNA". It matches the Rfam family "Bacterial small subunit ribosomal RNA", at positions 744 to 1503 of the family's 1533-position model. The record is from RNAcentral.
CACUAAGGCACGAAAGCGUGGGGAGCAAACGGGAUUAGAUACCCCGGUAGUCCACGCCGUAAACUAUGGAUGCUAGCUGUUAGAGGUAUCGACCCCUCUAGUAGCGAAGCUAACGCGUUAAGCAUCCCGCCUGUGGAGUACGGUCGCAAGACUAAAACAUAAAGGAAUUGACGGGGACCCGCACAAGCGGUGGAGCGUGUUGUUUAAUUCGAUGGUAAGCGAAGAACCUUACCCAGGCUUGACAUCCUUGGAAUUUCUCCGAAAGGAGAGAGUGCCUUUGGAACCAAGUGACAGGUGUUGCAUGGCCGUCGUCAGCUCGUGUCGUGAGAUGUUUGGUUAAGUCCAUCAACGAGCGCAACCCUUGUGAUUAGUUGAAUUUUUCUAAUCAGACUGCCCUGGCAACAGGGAGGAAGGGGGGGAUGAUGUCAGGUCAGUAUUACCCUUACGUCUGGGGCUACAAACACGCUACAAUGGCCAGUACAAAGGGCUGCCAAGUCGCGAGACGGAGCAAAUCCCAUCAAAGCCGGUCUCAGUUCGGAUAGCAGGCUGAAACUCGCCUGCUUGAAGCUGGAAUCGCUAGUAACGGUAGGUCAGCACACUACCGUGAAUACGUUCCCGGGUCUUGUACACACCGCCCGUCAAACCAUGAAAGUCGCCAAUACCUGACGUGUUGCCUUCGUGCAGCCCUAAGGUAGGGGAGAUGAUUGGGUUAAGUCGUAACAAGGUAACCAA